UCUGGUUGAUCCUGCCAGUAGUCAUAUGCUUGUCUCAAAGAUUAAGCCAUGCAUGUCUAAGUAUAAGCAAUUUAUACAGUGAAACUGCGAAUGGCUCAUUAAAUCAGUUAUCGUUUAUUUGAUAGUUCCUUUACUACAUGGUAUAACUGUGGUAAUUCUAGAGCUAAUACAUGCUUAAAAUCUCGACCCUUUGGAAGAGAUGUAUUUAUUAGAUAAAAAAUCAAUGUCUUCGGACUCUUUGAUGAUUCAUAAUAACUUUUCGAAUCGCAUGGCCUUGUGCUGGCGAUGGUUCAUUCAAAUUUCUGCCCUAUCAACUUUCGAUGGUAGGAUAGUGGCCUACCAUGGUUUCAACGGGUAACGGGGAAUAAGGGUUCGAUUCCGGAGAGGGAGCGUGAGAAACGGCUACCACAUCCAAGGAAGGCAGCAGGCGCGCAAAUUACCCAAUCCUAAUUCAGGGAGGUAGUGACAAUAAAUAACGAUACAGGGCCCAUUCGGGUCUUGUAAUUGGAAUGAGUACAAUGUAAAUACCUUAACGAGGAACAAUUGGAGGGCAAGUCUGGUGCCAGCAGCCGCGGUAAUUCCAGCUCCAAUAGCGUAUAUUAAAGUUGUUGCAGUUAAAAAGCUCGUAGUUGAACUUUGGGCCCGGUUGGCCGGUCCGAUUUUUUCGUGUACUGGAUUUCCAACGGGGCCUUUCCUUCUGGCUAACCUUGAGUCCUUGUGGCUCUUGGCGAACCAGGACUUUUACUUUGAAAAAAUUAGAGUGUUCAAAGCAGGCGUAUUGCUCGAAUAUAUUAGCAUGGAAUAAUAGAAUAGGACGUUUGGUUCUAUUUUGUUGGUUUCUAGGACCAUCGUAAUGAUUAAUAGGGACGGUCGGGGGCAUCAGUAUUCAAUUGUCAGAGGUGAAAUUCUUGGAUUUAUUGAAGACUAACUACUGCGAAAGCAUUUGCCAAGGACGUUUUCAUUAAUCAAGAACGAAAGUUAGGGGAUCGAAGAUGAUCAGAUACCGUCGUAGUCUUAACCAUAAACUAUGCCGACUUAGGGAUCGGGUGGUGUUUUUUUAAUGACCCACUCGGCACCUUACGAGAAAUCAAAGUCUUUGGGUUCU
This 1105-nucleotide ribosomal RNA is filed under the name Saccharomyces paradoxus NRRL Y-17217. RNAcentral describes it as "SSU rRNA". It matches the Rfam family "Eukaryotic small subunit ribosomal RNA", at positions 1 to 1115 of the family's 1831-position model. Lineage: Eukaryota; Fungi; Ascomycota; Saccharomycetes; Saccharomycetales; Saccharomycetaceae. The record is from RNAcentral.